AGUGAACGCUGGCGGUAGGCCUAACACAUGCAAGUCGAACGGCAGCACAGUAAGAGCUUGCUCUUACGGGUGGCGAGUGGCGGACGGGUGAGGAAUACAUCGGAAUCUACUUUUUCGUGGGGGAUAACGUAGGGAAACUUACGCUAAUACCGCAUACGGCCUACGGGUGAAAGCAGGGGAUCUUCGGACCUUGCGCGAUUGAAUGAGCCGAUGUCGGAUUAGCUAGUUGGCGGGGUAAAGGCACACCAAGGCGACGAUCCGUAGCUGGUCUGAGAGGAUGAUCAGCCACACUGGAACUGAGACACGGUCCAGACUCCUACGGGAGGCAGCAGUGGGGAAUAUUGGACAAUGGGCGCAAGCCUGAUCCAGCCAUACCGCGUGGGUGAAGAAGGCCUUCGGGUUGUAAAGCCCUUUUGUUGGGAAAGAAAAGCAGCAGGUUAAUACCCCGCUGUUCUGACGGUACCCAAAGAAUAAGCACCGGCUAACUUCGUG
This 492-nucleotide ribosomal RNA is filed under the name uncultured bacterium. Its description in RNAcentral is "partial 16S ribosomal RNA". It matches the Rfam family "Bacterial small subunit ribosomal RNA", at positions 29 to 507 of the family's 1533-position model. The record is from RNAcentral.